AUUGAACGCUGGCGGCAUGCUUUACACAUGCAAGUCGAACGGUAACAGGCCGCAAGGUGCUGACGAGUGGCGAACGGGUGAGUAAUGCAUCGGAACGUGCCCAGUCGUGGGGGAUAACUACUCGAAAGAGUAGCUAAUACCGCAUACGAUCUAUGGAUGAAAGCGGGGGACCGUAAGGCCUCGCGCGAUUGGAGCGGCCGAUGUCAGAUUAGGUAGUUGGUGGGGUAAAGGCUCACCAAGCCAACGAUCUGUAGCUGGUCUGAGAGGACGACCAGCCACACGGGGACUGAGACACGGCCCAGACUCCGACGGGAGGCAGCAGUGGGGAAUUUUGGACAAUGGGCGCAAGCCUGAUCCAGCAAUGCCGCGUGCAGGAAGAAGGCCUUCGGGUUGUAAACUGCUUUUGUACGGAACGAAACGGCUCUGGUUAAUACCCGGGGCUAAUGACGGUACCGUAAGAAUAAGCACCGGCUAACUACGU
This 481-nucleotide ribosomal RNA is filed under the name uncultured bacterium. Its description in RNAcentral is "partial 16S ribosomal RNA". It matches the Rfam family "Bacterial small subunit ribosomal RNA", at positions 30 to 506 of the family's 1533-position model. The record is from RNAcentral.